AGCAUAUCAAUAAGCGGAGGAAAAGAAACCAACAGGGAUUGCCCUAGUAACGGCGAGUGAAGCGGCAACAGCUCAAAUUUGAAAUCUGGCGUCUUUGGCGUCCGAGUUGUAAUUUGCAGAGGGCGCUUUGGCAUCGGCAGCGGUCCAAGUUCCUUGGAACAGGACGUCACAGAGGGUGAGAAUCCCGUACGUGAUCGCUAGCCUUUACCGUGUAAAGCCCCUUCGACGAGUCGAGUUGUUUGGGAAUGCAGCUCUAAAUGGGAGGUAAAUUUCUUCUAAAGCUAAAUACUGGCCAGAGACCGAUAGCGCACAAGUAGAGUGAUCGAAAGAUGAAAAGCACUUUGGAAAGAGAGUUAAAAAGCACGUGAAAUUGUUGAAAGGGAAGCGCUUGCAGCCAGACUUGCCUGUAGUUGCUCAUCCGGGUUUCUACCCGGUGCACUCUUCUAUAGGCAGGCCAGCAUCAGUUUGGGCGGUUGGAUAAAGGUCUCUGUCAUGUACCUCUCUUCGGGGAGAACUUAUAGGGGAGACGACAUGCAACCAGCCUGGACUGAGGUCCGCGCAUCUGCUAGGAUGCUGGCGUAAUGGCUGUAAGCGGCCCGUCUUGAAACACGGACCAAGGAGUCUAACAUCUAUGCGAGUGUUUGGGUGUCAAGCCCGAACGCGUAAUGAAAGUGAACGGAGGUGGGAACCUUUCGGGGUGCACCAUCGACCGAUCCUGAUGUCUUCGGAUGGAUUUGAGUAAGAGCAUAGCUGUUGGGACCCGAAAGAUGGUGAACUAUGCUUGAAUAGGGUGAAGCCAGAGGAAACUCUGGUGGAGGCUCGCAGCGGUUCUGACGUGCAAAUCGAUCGUCAAAUUUGGGCAUAGGGGCGAAAGACUAAUCGAACUAUCUAGUAGCUGG
RNAcentral lists this ribosomal RNA (899 nucleotides) under Neodidymelliopsis sp. RNAcentral's name for it is "partial large subunit ribosomal RNA". It matches the Rfam family "Eukaryotic large subunit ribosomal RNA", at positions 37 to 954 of the family's 3401-position model. Lineage: Eukaryota; Fungi; Ascomycota; Dothideomycetes; Pleosporales; Didymellaceae. The record is from RNAcentral.